Camponotus floridanus (Florida carpenter ant) is the source of this 1105-nucleotide long non-coding RNA. RefSeq lists it as uncharacterized. The transcript has 3 exons. NCBI's taxonomy places the organism in Eukaryota, Metazoa, Arthropoda, Insecta, Hymenoptera, Formicidae. The record is from RefSeq and is a predicted model, not a curated record.
UUCACCAACGUGAUUUAAUCUAAUCGGUCGAUUAACUGUCAGAGUUGCCAACUGCUGAACAUAAUAAAACUGAUCGUAACCUAUUUUCUUUCUGUGAAGCAAGGUCCGUGGAUGGCGACGUUCGUUUUUAAAGUCUUGUUAUUGGCAAUUCUGGUGACCAAUUUAAUCGACCGAUUAGAUUAAAUCACGUUGGUGAAACCGGGCCAUAGACAUAUAUUUAAGUUUCGCUUAAAGCUAAAAUAACAUUGGUGUAACCGGGCCUUAAGGCAAGAUGAAUCUAAGAUUAAAGAACUAACAUCACAAUUGACUGUUAUGGAAGAAAAGCAAUAUACAGGAACUCAAAAUUUGGAACAUAAAAAUAAUGAGUUGUGGAAAUAUAAUACCUAUUUAAUAAUAAGUAAUAAUUAGAAAACUAGAAAUAGAAAAAAAAGAGCUGUUACAAGAGAUUAAACAGAGGAAAAACAAAACAAUUUAAAAUCUUUUAAACCAAACUUACAAGAUCAAAAAGUGUUGGAACUAGGAAAGUAUUAUUAUUCCAUAUAUAUUGACAUACUUUUACUUUUAUAUCAUGAUUUCUUUUGUUUUAUAAGAAAAAAUUAAAAUUAUACGAAGAUUUAACAAAGAUUCAGUGGGAUUAUGAAGCAAAACAUAGUGUAAGAGGCUGAUCCUUUUUCAAUAUUUAUGACUAACUUAUUAAAUGCGAUUGAUAUAUAUAUGCAUGUAUGUACAUAUAUACAUUAUGUGCAAUACACAUUUCACAAUAUAUUUAAUACUGCAACCUUUUUUUUAAGUUUAAAAUAUAAACAAUGCUUGAGCAUAUUUGUAGAUGACAAAUAAUAAUCCUUAAUUCUUGAAAAUAGAUGUCUUAAAUAAAUAUGAUUAUAUUCAUUAUUGUGUCAAUAUGAUUAUAUUGCAUCAUUUUUGUUGAAAAUCAAGAAACUAAUGACAUUAGCAGACUCUCUGUAGCAUGAAAUAUAUUUGUCUACUAGUAAAGCCAGAGAUGAAAUUUUUUAAACAUUUUACAUAUGAUACUAAUAUGAUAGUUAUAAUGUCUUACACUUGUAAUCUGUGUAUGUUUUAUGAAUGAAGUACUUUUUUGUCUCGA